Molecule: transfer RNA, 64 nt
Filed under: Epeorus sp. MT-2014
Lineage: Eukaryota; Metazoa; Arthropoda; Insecta; Ephemeroptera; Heptageniidae
Also listed under: 1 other name
Description: tRNA-His
Source: RNAcentral
ACCUGAAUAGUUUAAUAAAAAUAUUGAUUUGUGGUGUCAAAAAUGUAAUUCGUUACUUCGGGUA